UGUAAGCGUAUACCAAAGUUGUUGCAGUUAAAACGCUCGUAGUCGGAAUUUGGCAGUUCCGGAUGUGUGCACGUCGUGUGCGCACUUCGCGGGGAUUGCUUUUGUGGUCUUGCGUAGGAUGAGGCACUUUUAUUAGUGAACGUCCUCACGCAACCACUUUUUACUGUGAGAAAAUCAGAGUGCUCAAAGCAGGCAUUUGCUGUGAAUGUAUUAGCAUGGAAUAAUAGAAUAGGACUUGGUUCUAUUUUGUUGGUUUGUUGGGACUGAGUAAUGAUUAAGAGGGACAGUUGGGGGCAUUUGUAUUUCGGUGCUAAAGGUGAAAUUCUUAGAUUACCGAAAGACAAACUGCUGCGAAAGCGUCUGCCAAGGAUGUUUUCAUUGA
RNAcentral lists this ribosomal RNA (382 nucleotides) under uncultured eukaryote. RNAcentral's name for it is "partial 18S ribosomal RNA". It matches the Rfam family "Eukaryotic small subunit ribosomal RNA", at positions 592 to 976 of the family's 1831-position model. The record is from RNAcentral.